CUGCAUCCACUGAAUAGUUUCCUGUUGUUCUUUGGUUUGCACUAGGAUGCAAGAGGAAAAAAAAAAAUCCCUGUGCUUUCUGUGUGUGGCAGCCCAGAUUGAAUAAGGGAAUACAUAU
This 118-nucleotide small nucleolar RNA is filed under the name Erinaceus europaeus (western European hedgehog). RNAcentral's name for it is "Small nucleolar RNA SNORA31 (ENSEEUG00000023223.1)". It matches the Rfam family "Small nucleolar RNA SNORA31". From Rfam's summary of the family: ACA31 (SNORA31) belongs to the H/ACA class of snoRNAs which are thought to guide the sites of modification of uridines to pseudouridines. ACA31 is predicted to guide the pseudouridylation of U3713 in 28S rRNA and U218 in 18S rRNA. Lineage: Eukaryota; Metazoa; Chordata; Mammalia; Eulipotyphla; Erinaceidae. The record is from RNAcentral.